ACUGGGCAUGGUGGCGCACGCCUGUAAUCCCAGCAGCUAGGGAGGCUGAGACAGGAGGAUCGCAAGUUCAAAGCCAGCCUCAGCAAAAGCAAGGUGCUAGGCAACUCAGUGAGACCCUGUCUCUA
This 125-nucleotide small RNA is filed under the name Marmota monax (woodchuck). Lineage: Eukaryota; Metazoa; Chordata; Mammalia; Rodentia; Sciuridae. The record is from RNAcentral.